Molecule: RNA transcript, 4005 nt
Organism: Bombus pyrosoma
Lineage: Eukaryota; Metazoa; Arthropoda; Insecta; Hymenoptera; Apidae
Gene: MED27
Gene name: mediator of RNA polymerase II transcription subunit 27
Exons: 5
Source: RefSeq, a predicted model, not a curated record
UGUCUUGAGAGGUUAGUUAUUUUACGAAUCUACUAUUGUUGUUAUUGGAAGAUGAUUUAAUAACAGGAGAAGGCUUUAUGCUUUUUACAUAUUUUUUUUAUACAUUGAAAGAAGAACACGUUAACAGAUAUUAAAAACGAUAAAAAUGGAACAGCUACAGACCGCACUGACAGCAAUUAAAGUACUACGCUCAAGUGUUGGCCAAGUCUUUGAUUCUUUAGGAAAUGGACUACGUGCUGAUCAUGGGGAAGAAAAUAAAGAAAAUAAAUAUUUGCUUGAAUUGCAAGAACUUUUAACAACAGUCAAUGUCAACCUAAGAGAUGUUGAACAAGCUGUAAGCAGUUUAAAUCCACCACCAGGACCAUUUAAUUUAGCAAGUACUACAUAUCUUAGUCAAGAAACGACACAAGAAAGACAAGCAUUGUAUAGUACAUUAGUAAAUAGUUACAAGUGGACGGACAAAGUUCAUGAAUAUAGCAAUGUUGCUCAAGUAAUACUUAGCCAGAAUUCUCUGAAAAGAUCUUAUAAUACUACUAGCAGAGUAAAAAGAGGUCGAAUCCAAACGAGUAAUCAUAAUGUUCCUCAACAACAAGUUGAUUCAUUAAUAGCCACAUUUGAUAGACUUUUUAAUGAUAUGACAGUAUCUGUAUCUCGACCAUUUGCAUCAAAUGUAGUAUUACAUGUUACCCUAGGACAUGUUUUAAAAGGAGUCAUAGCGUUUAAAGGUUUAAUGAUUGAAUGGGUAGUAGUUAAAGGUUAUGGAGAAACUAUGGAUUUAUGGACAGAGUCCAGACACAAGGUUUUUAGAAAAGUAACAGAAAAUGCUCACGCUGCUAUGUUACAUUUUUAUUCUCCUACGUUACCUGAAUUAGCCGUCCGAUCAUUUAUGACUUGGUUCCAUAGUUUAAAUAAUUUAUUCAGUGAUCCAUGUAAACGUUGCGGUUUACAUUUACACAGUGCUUUACCUCCAACAUGGAGAGAUUUUCGAACAUUGGAAUCCUAUCAUCAAGAAUGUAAACCAUAAGUAUUCAGAACAAAAUUCCAAAUUCUAAAACUGAUAUUAUAUAUAAUAUACUUUUGUCUUUUAUAAAAUACAUUUAAUUAUAUCGAAAAAAAGAAUAUUUGCUUUUUUUAUAUACAUCUCUCUAACUAAAUAAUUAAAACACCGAUAUUACUUAGUAAAUAUUUUUAUUUGUAGAUUUUAAAAGAUGUUGUAUAUGAUCUUCCCACUUAAAUUUAUCUGUUCAGCUUAAAUACAUUAAUCAUAAGUAUGUAAUUAAAAUAUUAUAGACAAUUGCUACGCAUAUAUACAAUUGCAAAUAAAACCAUGUUUGCAAUAUUAUAUGUUUAUAUUUUUUUUAGUAAUACAAACUCAAAACAAUAUUGCAUGAAUUGAAAAUAAUUAAAAUGUCUUUCCAGAAAAUAUGAAAUGGUUUCUCCUCAAAAAAGAGAUAUCUAUAUAAUGCUUCACAUAUAUAAAAUUAACAUGUAGUAUUUUAACAAAUUUGAAGAUAAGAAAUUGUUUGUAGGCCAUUGAAGAGAAAUUUAUCUUUUUUAAACGAAAUAUUAACUUCUUUCCCAAAUAUCUGUGACCGAAUAUAUAUUCUAAUUAAAAUGAAACAAACUAAAAAGAUAUAACCUUUUUUAUGAAAUAAAUAUUUAGAAAGAAGAAUCACGUCAAUAAGUAGAAUUUCUACCAGAGAAACUUUUCUGUGUUAAGAUUUACGUAUAAUAUACAAAUGAGCAGGCAUAAUCUUUUUCUUGUCUGGAAUAUAAUAGUUUUGCAAUCGAUGGUUUUUUCUUUUAUCUGUGUACCCUACAUAUGUAUAUCAUUCUUAAUAUUAUUACAUGCUAUUUAGUUUUACAUAACUCUAAUUAAUAUUAUGUAAAUAUAAUUAAGUUAUAAGUACUUUUCACAUAACUGUACACAUUCACAUUUGGAAUAUUGGCGCUCUCCGUGGAGCACAAGUCGUUAAAGUUGGCAGUGAACUUAUUUUACAAAUCGUUAUUCUGAUCACUUUGUUGGACUGUUCCAAUUUUUUUUUAUCUUUCUUUAAGGCUCUAUAAACGUUGCAAUACUCGGUGAAUUUAGUAUCAUAUCAUUGACUCAAAACUAUAUAUGCAAUCAUAACUGAUUUUGUUAUCAAAGUCACGUCGAGUACGGAUAGGUCCUCGCAUAAAGGUUGCCGUUCAUAUAUAUGUAUAUAUAUAUGUAUAUAUAUAUAUAUUUAUAUGCAUAUUCGUAAUAUUACAGUUUUAGAAACCAGUUAUUUAUUAUAUCGUUACGUGUGGAUGAAUUAUAGUGAAAUUAAUUUUCUGGUACGAGAAAGAGUAUUUUUUUGUUCUUUUUUUGAAAGCACUUUGAACACCUACAAAUUACUUUAGACUUUAGACCUUCGAAAACAAGAGAAAUGUCUCGUGUUUUGCAAAAUUCAUAUGUAUAUAUAUGGCAUAACUGCAUCUCAUUGUUAUAUUUAUCUAAUGACAUUAAUUAUAAUUUUCAUUGUGGCGAAAGUAGAAAAAUCGUUCAUAGAUUAUCUUUUGUUUCUUUUUAGAUGUAGAUAAUUUUGUGUUUGCUUCGAAAUGUUCAAUGAAUAUAUAUCACAGCAUGCCUUUUCUCAACAGGAUAAUAAAAAAAAAAUCAUUAGAGAUAAAAAUUUUAUAAACGUAGUUAAUCCACAUCUAAUAAUCUCGGAUAAUUUCUCUUAUUAAUUUACAUAUAGUUUAACAAAUUUUAAGACGUGAAAAGUAAAUCCUUUGUUUGUCUUAAAAUAAUUUUUCUAACACAAUACAGAGUUUUUUCUGAAUUCGACUCAUCGAUCUCAUCGUUCAGAUGCAUAGUUAGUUUGAGUUGAAGUAAUUGCAACUACAGUUAUGUAUAAUUAUCGUCUUUAAGCUUGUAAUGAUUUUAAAAAAUGGAUAUGCUACCAGCACUCGGUCCACGAUUAUCGUACAUUCAUAACACGAGUGGGAAACGUACAGUUCAUUUUUGUUCAACAUACAUGUAUGAUAUUAACGAAGUUUGCGAUCGUUAUCAUUAGCCCGUUACAAUGUGCUACUAUAAACUAGUAGCUAUGUAUAUAUGUUUGUAUAUCUCUAGCCUAAGUAUCCAUAAUCAAUAAUGGAAUUCUGAUAAUACUCUAAUGCAAGGAAAUCUACUUUAGCAUAUUUUCAGUUCAAUAGCUUUAUUGCCUUUCUCACUGAUUCUGUAUGAUUUGGACAGCUUAUAAUUAAAAGUUUUCCCUUUAUUUUGUUUUUUUUUUUCAUUAAAUUAUAGCAUACGAUUUACUGCACACGAUUUUAUUUAUUUAUUUAUUCAUUUUUCAUUCUAUUCUAGGUACUGUAUCGCGAUUAUAACGCGAUAUUUAAAUAGCAAACCGAUUUGAGAGAUUGUUUAAUUUAUUUAUAAGCUAGCGCGAAAGAGAAUUUACCGAUGGUGUCAGUGUAUUCUUUGGUGCUUAUUAUUCUAUCUCUGAACCUAAUUUGUGUGUAAGAACUAAAAGUAAUCCGAUCUGUUUACACUUUCCGAUCGAUGUUACGUAUAAUCAUGAAAAUAAAUAAAAAGCUGUAACAGUUUAAAAUAAUGCUUUAAUUUCUCUGUAAAAAUCAUAUCAUUUUAUGUUAUUGUAUAAGAUAUAUCUAAUAUCCAAUAUAAUCUUUGAGUGAAUGAAAUUUUAAGUGUUGUUUGUUCUCCAACAAAAAGAUGGCGCUUGAAACAGUAUACAGUGCAUCCGGUCAAUGUUCAUCUCAGUUCGAUUAAAGCGAUCGGUUGAAAUGUUUGUGUGUAUCGGCAUCGAAUAGAUAUAUCGCUCGAACGAUGUAAUUAAUUUUCGUGUAACGCUAUUUUGAAUAGGGAAUUAAAUAUACUAUAUCGAAUAGUAUAGGAUUAUCAUACAUCUUCUUAUGCAACGACAUGAUCUUCGUCAAGGGCAUCGAUUCAACAUGCACCGACGUCGUAGAAUUACGAGAAAACAGUACAUCGCGUCUUAUCAACAACUCGUCAAC